Molecule: long non-coding RNA, 1813 nt
Filed under: Anser brachyrhynchus (Pink-footed goose)
Lineage: Eukaryota; Metazoa; Chordata; Aves; Anseriformes; Anatidae
Description: lncRNA (ENSABRG00000009617.1)
Source: RNAcentral
GCGAAAGACCAGCUGCGAAAUGCCCCGCAGCUGUAGCCAGUGCUAGAACAGAGUGCCUUGGAACCAGAAAUCAAUGCUCCUGAAAUGAACAAGUGGACAACUUAUUAGGCUCAGUCACUCCACACACCGUCCCCUGAUAACGAAUAGAUGAAGUACGCGCCGGAGAAAGGAGGCACUGGAGGAGGCCACACGUGCCCGCUCCUUGGCGGCGAGGCAGGGCAAUCCCGGGGGCACAGCCGGCCGCACGGGUGGCCCUGGGUAGGGCAGGGGCUGCAAGAAGGGGUUAGAUGGUGAUAAAAAGCAGCGGGUGCCCAGGAGAACGGCUCCACAAGUCAUCGAUAAAGGUGUCCGGCUUGCCGGCUCCUCUCCAGCAAGCGCGGCAGACAGGUUCGGCGAGCUCCCGUAACCGUGGCGUCUCUGCCUAGAAACAGCAGCGCUAAUUUUUGCAUUUCCACCGUCCGCGGGGAGGAAAAAAUACCUGUCCUCCCGCAAUGCAAAUCGCUACGCAAAUAGAUCGGCGGGCGCGCACGGAGCCGCCGCUGCCAGCCUGACCUCCCGGCGGGGAGUCAGCGGCCGGGAAUGAGCUCGGGCAGGCGGCAGCAGCCCGCCCAGGAAGCACACACCGCCCUGCGAACUGCUCGGCAGCCGCUCGCAACUCGCUGCCGGCUGGGGAAGGUCCGAGGGGGAGCCUGCGGCUCGCCUCCGAGGCCUUCGUGCAUCCCCGGAGAGCAGCGCCCCGGCGCUAAGUGCGAUUAACGUAACAGGCACUAAAAUAGGAGAGAGCGGCGCUGAAUUUAAUUUGCAGGCUUAAAAAAAAAAAGGGGGGGGGGAGGGAAAAAAUAAAACUUAACACUUGGAGCAGGCUGGCGAUGAAACACGGGGAGAGGGGCUGGAGGCUGCUGCGAAGCCCUCCCCUGCCUCGCAGCGGGACCAGGGACCCGGGACCACCUCGGGGGCGCGCAGCUCCGUAAAAUAUGAGGCCAGCGGAAAACGUGCGAUUAGCAGGCAGACAGGCGGGGACGGCCAGCCCUGCGCGCACACACACAGCCCGCAGCUCCGGCUCCGCGCCGUGUAAUCCCAGCGCUCAGCCCCGCUGCACCCCCUCAUUAAAAACCCGGAGAUUUCCUCCUCCUCCUCCUCCUCCUCCUCUGCUCUCCGAGGAAAACAACGCCUGCCACGGCCCCAACCCGGGCAGCUCCGCCCGGGGGCCCCGCGCUCCGUGCCGCGCCGUGCCGUGCCCGACGGGCCGCCCGCUCCCCGCCCGCUCCCCUGCCUCCCAGGGGGCCGCCCCCGGGGGGGCACCGGCUGCAGCCCCCCCCCCACCCCCCCACCCCCCCCUCGGCCGCCUCCCUUUCUCCGGGCGCGGUCGGGGGGCGCCGCAGCUCCGGGCGCCGGGGAGCUCCGGGCUCCCCCGGGGGCCAGGCGGUACCGCGGCGGAGCCGGGCCCCGGCGCCCCCGGGGCCGAUGAAGGGCGCUUUAUUCCGCAGCGCUCAAAACCCCUCAUUGUGUCGGGCAGAAUCACCUGCCUCCUCCUCCGGAGCCAGGCGAUUCAUUUAAUGCGAUACACAGCGCGCUCCGUCCCGGCCCCUCCUCGGCUCGGGGAGAGCUCCGCGGUGCGCUCUCCACGGAGCGCGGAGGAGGGGCGCGGCACGGCACGGCACGGCACGGCACGGCACGGCACGGCACGGCACGGCACGGCACGGCUCGGCACGGCUCGGCACGGCUCGGCACGGCUGGCCGGCAUCCUCCCAGCGCCGUCUCUGCCGGCGGCACCCCGGGGAAGCCUUCCCCGCCCGGCAGCUCCGCUCGCAGC